UCCCUCCCCAAGCUGCGUGUGUGGUCAAAGAGGGUGACCUUCCCGGAGAGAAGAGGACCAUUUUUCCGCCAAGGGUAUAUGAGUAGCUGCGCUCCCCUCUGGAACCUCCAAACAAGCUCUCAAAAUAACAAGUAAAUAAAUAGGGAAGGAAGG
This 153-nucleotide small RNA is filed under the name Microcebus murinus (gray mouse lemur). RNAcentral's name for it is "7SK RNA (ENSMICG00000031857.2)". It matches the Rfam family "7SK RNA", at positions 116 to 272 of the family's 331-position model. From Rfam's summary of the family: 7SK was discovered as an abundant small nuclear RNA in the mid-70s but a possible function has only recently been suggested. Two independent studies have found that 7SK RNA binds the CDK9/cyclin T complex (known as elongation factor P-TEFb). Lineage: Eukaryota; Metazoa; Chordata; Mammalia; Primates; Cheirogaleidae. The record is from RNAcentral.